This is a non-coding RNA of Ictalurus punctatus (channel catfish), 86 nucleotides long. NCBI's taxonomy places the organism in Eukaryota, Metazoa, Chordata, Actinopteri, Siluriformes, Ictaluridae. The record is from the annotation of a RefSeq genome assembly.
GUGAGGUCGUGAGGCCAAGUGGUUAAGGCGAUGGACUAGAGAUCCAUUGGGGUUUCCUCGCGCAGGUUCGAAUCCUGCCGACUACG